Molecule: non-coding RNA, 95 nt
Organism: Mycena crocata
Lineage: Eukaryota; Fungi; Basidiomycota; Agaricomycetes; Agaricales; Mycenaceae
Source: the annotation of a GenBank genome assembly
GACCCGGUGGUGUAGUGGUUAGCACGUCAGCGUACUAUUGACAAGCGAUAUGAAGUAUUAUGCAGGAAAUCCUCGUUCGACUCGGGGUCGGGUCA